UGUUCUGUGGCUUAGUUGGUUGAAGCGCCGGACUAGCGGGAACGGAGUUGUGGGUUCGAAUUCCACAAAAACAA
Non-coding RNA from Aedes albopictus (Asian tiger mosquito), 74 nucleotides. NCBI's taxonomy places the organism in Eukaryota, Metazoa, Arthropoda, Insecta, Diptera, Culicidae. The record is from Rfam.